AAUCGUGACUCGGGUUACCGCGGCUGCUGGCACGGAGUUAGCCGGUGCUUCUUCUGUGAGUGAUGUCCGUUCCUGCCGGCUAUUAACCCGCAGGCCUUCUUCCUCACUGAAAGUGCUUUACGAACCCGAAGGCCUUCUUCACACACGCGGCAUGGCUGGAUCAGGGUUGCCCCCAUUGUCCAAUAUUCCCCACUGCUGCCUCCCGUAGGAGUCUGGGCCGUGUCUCAGUCCCAGUGUGGCUGAUCAUCCUCUCAGACCAGCUACGGAUCGUCGCCUUGGUGAGCCGUUACCUCACCAACCAGCUAAUCCGACAUAGGCUCAUCCGAUAGCGCGAGGCCCGAAGGUCCCCCGCUUUCCCCCGUAGGCGUAUGCGGUAUUAGCCUGGGUUUCCCAGGUUACUCCCCACUACCGGGCAGAUUCCUAUGCAUUACUCACCCGUCCGCCGCUCGCCACCAGGGAGCAAGCUCCCCGUGCUGCCGCUCGACUUGCAUGUGUUAGG
RNAcentral lists this ribosomal RNA (499 nucleotides) under uncultured bacterium. RNAcentral's name for it is "partial 16S ribosomal RNA". The record is from RNAcentral.